AUACGUAGGUGACAAGCGUUAUCCGGAUUUACUGGGCGUAAAGGGCGUGUAGGCGGUCUUGCAAGUCAGAAGUGAAAUUCCUGAGCUCAACUCGGGCGCUGCUUCUGAAACUGCAGGACUUGAGUGCUGGAGGGGAUAGCGGAAUUCCUAGUGGAGCGGUAAAAUGCGCAGAUAUUAGGAAGAACACCGGUGGCGAAGGCGGCUAUCUGGACAGUAACGGACGCUGGGGCGCGAAAGCGUGGGGAGAAAACAGGAUUAGAUACCCUGGUAGUCCACGCUGUAAACGAUGAAUACUAGGUGUAGGGGGUAUCGACUCCCUCUGUGCCGCAGUUAACACAAUAAGUAUUCCGCCUGGGGAGUACGGCCGCAAGGUUGAAACUCAAAUGAAUUGGCGGGG
This 397-nucleotide ribosomal RNA is filed under the name uncultured bacterium. RNAcentral describes it as "partial 16S ribosomal RNA". It matches the Rfam family "Bacterial small subunit ribosomal RNA", at positions 523 to 918 of the family's 1533-position model. The record is from RNAcentral.